Molecule: ribosomal RNA, 442 nt
Filed under: uncultured bacterium
Lineage: Bacteria
Description: partial 16S ribosomal RNA
Rfam family: Bacterial small subunit ribosomal RNA
Source: RNAcentral
CCUACGGGAGUCAGCAGUGGGGAAUAUUGCACAAUGGGGGGAACCCUGAUGCAGCAAUGCCGCGUGGGUGAAGAAGCACUCCGGUGCGUAAAGCCCUGUCAGCAGGGAAGAAGAAAUGACGGUACCUGAGUAAGAAGCCCCGGCUAACUACGUGCCAGCAGCCGCGGUAAUACGUAGGGGGCAAGCGUUAUCCGGAAUUACUGGGUGUAACGGGAGCGUAGACGGUGAUGUAAGUCUGGAGUGAAAGGCGGGGGCCCAACCCCCGGACUGCUCUGGAAACUAUGUGACUGGAGUGCAGGAGAGGUGAGCGGAAUUCGUAGUGUAGCGGUGAAAUGCGUAGAUAUUAGGAGGAACACCAGUGGCGAAGGCGGCUCACUGGACUGUAACUGACGUUGAGGCUCGAAAGCGUGGGGAGCAAACAGGAUUAGAUACCCCAGUAGUC